RNAcentral lists this unclassified non-coding RNA (4109 nucleotides) under Gigantopelta aegis. RNAcentral describes it as "wD repeat domain phosphoinositide-interacting protein 3-like, transcript variant X1". The record is from RNAcentral. Lineage: Eukaryota; Metazoa; Mollusca; Gastropoda; Neomphalida; Peltospiridae.
AUUCGAGUUGGAAGAAAUUGUUGUUGAUGUGUUUUGUGAUUUUAUUUACAAAACAUGAAUUUAGCUUCCUCCCAUGGUUAUGGAAAUGGCCUAUUGUACGCAGGGUGGAACCAGGACCAAGGCUGCUUUGCUUGUGGAAUGGAAACAGGAUUUAGAGUUUAUAAUGCUGAUCCUCUUAAAGAAAAAGAAAGACAAGAUUUCACAGAUGGAGGAAUUGCACACAUUGAAAUGUUGUUCCGCUGCAAUUAUCUUGCUCUUGUAGGUGGCGGCAAGAACCCCAAAUAUCCUCCAAAUAAAGUGAUGGUGUGGGACGACCUGAAGAAGAAGAACGUCAUAGAACUGGAGUUCUCCAGUGAUGUCAGAAGUGUCCGGUUACGGCGAGAUAGGAUUGUGGUUGUGUUAGACACAAUGAUUAAGGUUUAUACAUUCACACAGAAUCCACAGCAACUCCAUGUGUUUGAGACAGGCAGUAAUCCUAAAGGAUUAUGUGUAAUGUGUCCAAACAGCAACAACUCACUGUUAUCAUUUCCCGGCCGCAAGGUUGGACACGUCCAGAUAGUGGACCUUGCCGAUACCGAGAAGUCUCCUCUCGACAUGGCUGCACACGAGGCCAGUCUCGGCUGCAUGGCCAUGAAUACUCAAGGAACGCGACUUGCAACUGCCUCCGAGAAGGGAACACUGAUUCGUGUGUUUGACACAAGUUCAGGAGUUCGGUUACAUGAGCUACGGAGAGGAACCCACAGUGCUAACAUCUACUGCAUCAAUUUCAACACGGAUUCGUCUUUGAUAUGUGUGUCAAGUGAUCAUGGAACUGUUCACAUUUUCUCAACAGAAGAUCCAAAGAAAAACAAACAGUCUAGCCUUGCGUCUGCUGGUUUCCUUCCAAAAUACUUCAGCUCCAACUGGAGUUUUUCCAAGUUCCAAGUUCCCGGUGGAGCCCAGUGUGUUUGUGCCUUUGGAACAGAACCGAACGCUGUGAUUGUUAUCUGUGCUGAUGGUAGCUACUACAAAUUCCUGUUCAACUCAAAGGGCGAGUGUACGAGAGAUGUGUAUGCUCAGUUCUUGGAGAUGACAGACGACCGCUCAUGAUAAUCUGUGAUAGACUCACGCAGUAGACGGGUACCUUCCUGUCGUACAUCCGACGAGUCUUUUUACAGCGACUGCAGUUCUUUGUUUGCUGGAGGAAGUUAAGUGGUUGGAAGUCAAAUGUGUAACAGUUUAAAGAACAUAUGCAUCAAUCGUUUUUCUUCAACUGUCGACAACAACAAUACUUUUAUGUGCAUAUUGCCAAUGAGUUCUGUGUGCGCAAAUAUUGUAUCAACAGAAUAAACUCAGACAUGUUAAGUUAAUAUUUUUAGAAACUGGUGCAGUUUUGUAAGCAUUUUCAGGGAAAAUGUGUUACAAAAUAUUGUUAUGAAAUUUUCAGCUUGUCUGGCAAAUUAAACUGUAUGCAUUGUAGAUAUUUGUUGGUACAAUCAUGUGUUAAAUAAUGUCAUAGCUCAGCUUGUGCAGUAGCAUUAUACAGGAGCAUUAUACAGUUGUUGUGUGAGGAGCCUCUAAAUAUAUGCAGUUAACUUGAAGCAGUUUGACCGUAGUGUUAGACGAUACUGUGCUUUACUUCACAUGAAUUUCAGUAGGAUAUUUUAUCUGUUUAAAGUAUAGUACUAAUACGAACAUUGUUUUCAGUUAGCUAUACCGGUUAUACACAGUCAAACACAGUGUUAAGAAGACACCAAAGGGAGUAUCGAAACUUUGCUUAAUUAGGAAAGGUGGCUGGUUACUACAGGUCAGUUUGUACUGCAUUAGAUGACUUGGGAGAGUAAAAAUGUGGCCUCUUAACACAGGUGGCUGGUUAAUACAGGUCAGUUUGUACUGCAUUAGAUGACUUGGGAGAGUAAAAAUGUGGCCUCUUAACACAGUUGGCUGGUUAAUACAGGUCAGUUUGUACUGCAUUUGAUGACUUGGGAGAGAAAAAAUGUGGCCUCUUAACACAGGUGGCUGGUUAAUACAGGUCAGUUUGUACUGCAUUAGAUGACUUGGGAGAGAAAAAAUGUGGCCUCUUAACACAGGUGGCUGGUUAAUACAGGUCAGUUUGUACUGCAUUAGAUGACUUGGGAGAGAAAAAAUGUGGCCUCUUAACACAGGUGGCUGGUUAAUACAGGUCAGUUUGUACUGCAUUAGAUGACUUGGGAGAGAAAAAAUGUGGCCUCUUAACACAGGUGGCUGGUUAAUACAGGUCAGUUUGUACUGCAUUAGAUGACUUGGGAGAGAAAAAAUGUGGCCUCUUAACACAGGUGGCUGGUUAAUACAGGUCAGUUUGUACUGCAUUAGAUGACUUGGGAGAGUACAAAUGUGGCCUCUUAACACAGGUGGCUGGUUAAUACUUGUGCCCACUAGAGCAGGCUUAACUGUACUACCCGGUAUUGUUUAUUUAGCAAGGUGUCGGUUUAAAUUUAGUUUUUAAACAGACUGGACCAAAUAUACAAAGCCUAUUUAUGUUUUACAAGUGUGUAACAACACACAUUUACAAUGCUUCUAAAAAAACCUUGCGUCUAAGAACAAGUUCUAUAAAUUCGGCUGUUAUCUCACCAUAUACAUGUACAGUGGAUGCAAUUUCUUCUGUAGUUUUAUUUUAAAACAUUUCUCUCCUAUGUUAAUCAUUGGUUAUUGUUUCUGGAUCUUUAUGAUUCUGCUAACUUUUCUCCAAGCUGUUUGAUAUUUAUGGAAACCUUGCAUGCAUUGACUGCACAAGAGUUUGUUACGGGAAAUGACUUUUGAUAACAGUAGACCAAAUAAACUGGACAUAAAGUUACAUUUUUGUUCUUGAUUUUGGUGUUGAUGUUUUUACAUCAUAAAAUUUCUGUUAGCUACUACAUUACAAAAUUCUUAAUUUGAUAAAUAUGGUGCUUCUGUUGGAAAUUUUAAUGGUCAGCUGAUUUGACCGCUUUAAGUUUCCAUGUAUGAUGUCAUGGUGUUUACCUCGUUAAUUUAAAAAUUGAAGUUGUGAGUCAGUUAUCACAAGACAUAGUUGUUUUUGAAUCGAUUUAUUGGGGUCAUGACAGAAAUGGAUGACCUAUUACAGAGAGUUAAAAACAGUUGUAGUGUAUUUUAUGGAAAUAUAGAAAUUUCAGCCAAAGGGAUAAAAAAAUAAUAUGUUUAACAUUGCUGUACUUCUGUCUCCACUAUUCACUCAUGCAUGAUUAUUUGUUUUGUAUUUUUCAUUAAAUUUACUAUUAGAAAAUGGGUCGCAUUUUUUAAAAUUAACUAUGUGAUAUAAUAAUAUAAAGACUAUUUCCUUGCAUGCAUCUAAUAAAAAUGUGCCUUUACUGUGGCUCUUUAAUAAAUUAAAAAUAGUUGUACUCCUUUCCUUAAUUUAUUUUUUUUUUUUUUUUUUUUUUUUUUUUACUUUACACUAAUAUUAAGUUUCUGUGCUGAACAUUUUCUUGGCUUAAUUUUAAAAUGUUCACCCUCUUUGUGUUCAAAGAAUAACUUAGCAGCAGAAGUAGCUACUACGAUUAUACAACAACGUAUACAUUCAGGGUAUUACUUCUAGCACAUUUUUUUAAUAAACUUGUUUCAACACUCCUACAACAAUAAUAGCGAGAUAAUUUCAUACCCCCCCCCCCCCCCCCCCUCUUUCCCCAAAUGGUAUGAAUUGGUUAAGAGGGUUUUUAGACACUCUUUGUUUAGGAUUUAUUAUUAUUAUUAUUAUUAUUGUUAUUAUUAUUAUAAUUAUUGUUAUUUUUAUUAUUAUUAUUAUUAUUAUUAUUAUUUAAAUAUUAAGCAAAUUCUAAAUUUCUGUACCUAUUAGUUUGCUGAUAUAUAUAGUAGUGAGUUUUAUGACAUUUCAUACAUGACUUGUACAAUAUGGACAAAUUACAAUACUCAAGUUUUAAAAUCAAAUUCUUUGUCCACUUGUACAUUUCAUGGGCAUUCAUGGGGGAACAGUAUCUGAGAACAAGCAUAGAUUGUUGUUACAAAAUGGCUGCUUUUUGGAUCCAUUUGUGAUUAUGCCUGUAUAUUUUUUGUAAACCUAUUUUUGUAGGAUAUUGUAUGAAUGAAUGUAUCCAUGUUGAUGAAAUGUAUUAAACUGUUGAUUUAAGUAUGUU